Pezoporus flaviventris is the source of this 821-nucleotide long non-coding RNA. RefSeq lists it as uncharacterized. NCBI's taxonomy places the organism in Eukaryota, Metazoa, Chordata, Aves, Psittaciformes, Psittacidae. The transcript is spliced from 3 exons. The record is from RefSeq and is a predicted model, not a curated record.
AGUCUGUUACUCAAGCCCAGAGGAGCAGAGCACUAACAGGACAGCUGUGAGUCUACGUUUGGGUGAUCUGAGUCAGUUCCGAGUUGUGUUCAAGCUCAAACCACUGUGGCAGCUACAGGUAUGUUCACUGGAAGGUGCUUGUUGUGCUCCUGCUUUGAAUGAGCUCACUUUCUGGCUUCAGAAAGCAAAACAACCAAGAAGUUGCUCAAUUUCUACCUGAAGGUUUCUGAAAUAUUUACGCAAUUAAGUAUAUAAAUAUUGGCUAUCUUGGGCUCUAUCAAACCUUCCUUAUCCAAGUUCCAUUACUGUGAGCCAGGGCCUAGUCACAUUCAGCUUUGAUGCAGCAACACAACAAGUUUGUUUAUCCUGCAGCAUAUAUUGGACAGAAAUACAGAAAGUGGAAUAUCUGUAUCUCACUGGUUAUAAACAUGUUGAUGUAAAAGAAGGCCAUCCCACUGCAGGGUUAUUAAUCAUUCAUUCUUUGGCACCCAUAGCAGUGUUCUUGAUAAAUGCUGUACAAAUUCCAGAGCCGGAAUUUGGGUAAAACAGAAGAGCAUUUUUGGUGCUUAUUUGUGCUUCUGGUUUUAGUGCCGUACAAACAAGUCUAAAAAGAAGAAGAAUUUCAGCUCUCAGGACAAGGCCUCCCCACUCUACUUCCUAGGCUGAAAAACACACAUCCUCUUGCACUAACUUCUGUUUUGGAUUUAGUCCUAAACCAGUAUCACAAGGAGUUAGGCUAAACAAAGCGGCCUUUAGCAGAAAAACACUGGAGAAAGUGGAACAGUCAGUACUAGACACAAUGGAGAAUUACCAGUAAUUAC